This 495-nucleotide ribosomal RNA is filed under the name uncultured bacterium. RNAcentral describes it as "partial 16S ribosomal RNA". It matches the Rfam family "Bacterial small subunit ribosomal RNA", at positions 28 to 507 of the family's 1533-position model. The record is from RNAcentral.
GACGAACGCUGGCGGCGUGCCUAAUACAUGCAAGUAGAACGCUGAAGGAGGAGCUUGCUUCGCUGGAUGAGUUGCGAACGGGUGAGUAACGCGUAGGUAACCUGCCUGGGAGGGGGGGAUAACUAUUGGAAACGUUAGCUAAUACCGCAUAAUAGCAGUAGUUGCAUGAUAACUGUUUGAAAGGUGCAAUUGCACCGCUACCAGAUGGACCUGCGUUGUAUUAGCUAGUUGGUGGGGUAACGGCUCACCAAGGCGACGAUACAUAGCCGACCUGAGAAGGGGGUUGGCCAACCUGGGACUGGGACACGGCCCAGGACCCUUCGGGGGGCAGCAGGAGGGAAACUUCGGCAAUGGACGGAAGGCUGGACAAGGAACGCCGGGUGAGUGGAGAAGGUUUUCGGAUCGUAAAGCUCUGUUGUAAGGGAAGAAAGAGUGUGCGAGUGGAAAGUUCACAUUGUGACGGUAUCUUACCAGAAAGGGACGGCUAACUACGUG